This 493-nucleotide ribosomal RNA is filed under the name uncultured bacterium. RNAcentral describes it as "partial 16S ribosomal RNA". It matches the Rfam family "Bacterial small subunit ribosomal RNA", at positions 28 to 507 of the family's 1533-position model. The record is from RNAcentral.
GACGAACGCUGCGGCGUGCUUAACACAUGCCAGUUGAACGGAAAGGCCUGCUUUUCCUUGUGGAUUGCGGGUUCUCGAGUGGCGAAUGGGUGAGUAAUACGUGAGUGAUUAGCCCCCAAUUUGGGUUUAAGCCUGGGAAACUGGGUCUAAUUUCCGAUAGGAUUGAUGGGUGGUGCUUGUGGUGGACAACGAUUUUCUUGUGGUUGGGGAUGAGCUCGCGGCCUAUCAGUCUGUUGGUGGGGUCAUGGCCUACCAAGGCGGCGACGGGUAGCCGGCAGGGGAGGGUGAACGGCCACAUUGGGACUGGGACACGGCCCAAACUCCGGCAGGAGGCAGGAGUGGGGGAUAAUGGACGGUGGGCGGAAGCCGGAAGCAGCGACGCCGCGUGGAGGAUUACGGCCUUCGGGUUGUAGUCUCCUGUCGACCGCGAGGAAGCCACCUGGUUGGAAGGGUGGUGACGGUAGUGGUAGAAGAAGCACCGGCUAACUACGUG